GACGAAGGCUUGGGCUCCCCGCGCGGUGACCGUCGAGGUGACCUGCACCUGGCUCCAUGGCGGAACCGGCCGGCACGGAUUAUUCCCCUCUCGGGAGAGGUCUGCAGCCGGGCCUCAGUGCUUCAGUUCGUGGCCUGGCAUUUUGUGUCAGUGUUUUUUAACCUUUGGACCCUAGUUCAACCGACUCCGAGACCUAGGGGACAGAUCUUAAGUUUUACAAUAACCCAGGGGUCAGACAGGGUCUGAUCUAGCCUGUGGGGCAAGUACGGGGAAGACACGGGACCUCUUGGAGGGGGUCAGUAGGCUUGUAGGGGGAAAGACGCACACAGAGACUAAAGGACGAGAUGGAGCAAGGUUCAACCCCCUAGCUGAGUGUUGGCAGUGUCGGGAUUUUAACGAAGACAUUGGUGCUUAUUAUGGUGAGGGGACUCAGGACAGUUUAGGGGAAGAGAGUGGCAUUUGAGUCCUAACUCGUAAGGAAGACUGGGUAGGACUACUUGAAAAUAACUUUUAAAAAUUAAUUAUAAAGCUGGUAAAAAUAGGAAAACAUCUAUGGCCCCACUGUCCAAAGACGACUUUUAACUUCUUGGAGAAUAUCCUUUCAGAUAGUUGUCUUUGUAAAUGUAUACUUUUAAUGUUUUUUCGUUUGCCUUUUUAAAAUAAAUUUUUUGGGGGACAGGGUCUUGCUCUGUUACCCAGGCUGUAGUGCAGUAGAACGAUUAUAGCUCAUUGCAACCCGGACGUCCUGGGUUCAAGCUAUCCUCACCUCUCAGCCUCUCGACUGGCUAGGACCACAGCCUCGAGCCAUCAUGUCUGGCUAAUUUUUACGUUUUUUUGUAGAGAUGGGGGUCUCGCUGUGUUGUCCAGGCUGGUCUUAAACUCCUUGCUUCAACAGAUCCUCCCACUCCAGCCUCCCAAAAUGUGAUUACAGGCUGAGUCACCACGCCUAGCAUGGUUUUUUUUGUUUUGUUUGUUUUGUAAGCAAAAUUGACAUACAUACUGGAGGUACAAUUCUGUAGCUGGCCUUCUUUACAGAGUUUAGAAUAAAUGUCUUUCCAUGUCAAGUUUUCACUUACAUCCUUUGUAGUAGUUGCAAAAUAUUCCAUUUUAUAGCUGUAUCUUAAUUGUGGAUUAAGGUUGGAGUGCAGUGGCACUAUCAUGGCUUAGUCCAGCCUCAGCCUUCUAGGUUCAAGCGAUCUUCCCACCUCAGCCUCCCAAGAAGCUGGGACUACAGGGACCCGCCACCCCACCUAGCUAAUUAAAAAAAAAAUUGUAGAGAUGGAGUCUCAGUGUGUAGCCCAGUCUCAAGUGACCCUCCCUCGUUGGCUUCCCAAAGCGCUGAGAUUGCAGGAAGAGUGUCUUCAUCUCUGCAUCCCUAGUGCAACAGAGCAUGACAAAAAUUCAACAAAUAUUUAUUGAAGAGUCUUGAUGUCUUUUGGGAAAGGAACUCUAUGGUUACCUUUACUCUAAGAUUAGAUGGGUGUUACUGAUUCUUACCUCAGAGAAGAGAAUGUCAUGGAGACAAAAUGACCUGCUUAGAGUUCUGCACCCCCCAGCAUGGAGAGCAGAGCGCAAAGAUUUCUUCCGGACUCCCACAUUCCCCUUGGAAUCCAAGAACUGGUCUACUGUCACAACACUUUAGUACCCUCUUCUCCCAAGGAGGCAGCAGAAACUGGGGUAAUCACAACGGUCAACAGCAGCAAAGGCAGCACUUUCUGAUUUACUUGACUGCUAUGGAUGCCACCUCUCUCCACGCCUCAGUUUAAUAUCUGACCUGAAAGCCUCUGAAGUUCACUCCUUCGGCCCCACUCCCUUCCUGCUGCCUUUGGGCUCUCCUCAUGUGACUCUGCCUGUUGAAACUGUCUGCUAGCUGGCCCAGCAUCUCCAGGCAUGGCCUCACUCAUCCACCUCUCCCUUGCUGAAGGUCUCCUCAUGUAACACACGAUUCCUUUAGAUGGUCCUUCAUCACCAGCAAGAUGAAACCUAAAUUCAUUGGCAUGGUAGACAAAACUCUAGCCUUGCCUCCCAGAGGCCAGUCUCUGUCUCCGCCACUCCCCAGGUGGACUGCAUUGUGUUUCUGCUGCCAUAAACAUAAUUUAUUCUGACUGGAACAUCUUCUGUGCAUGUCUGCAGAGUGCACUUCACUCCCCCUGCAGUUCAAGCAUCCUUCCUCCACAAAGCCUUUUCUUUUGAUCACUGCAGGACCUGUAAAAGCUAUCCUGGGAUAGCCUGUAUUUACUGGACUGAAAUGAUCUGUUUGCCUAUCAAUUUCCCCAAAUGAUAUAUGGCAAGGAGUAGUUGAAUCUAAGAGCAGAUCUCAAAGCCUAUGUCCUUUCCAUUGCCUUGUACCCUGCUCCCCUCAAGAAUACCUAUUUUUUGGGGUUGGUGGGAGGAUCAUGUGAGAUAAUGCAUGGGCAG
Molecule: long non-coding RNA, 2418 nt
Organism: Homo sapiens (human)
Lineage: Eukaryota; Metazoa; Chordata; Mammalia; Primates; Hominidae
Gene: LAMTOR5-AS1
Product: LAMTOR5 and SLC16A4 antisense RNA 1
Source: Ensembl